RNAcentral lists this long non-coding RNA (2811 nucleotides) under Salmo salar (Atlantic salmon). RNAcentral describes it as "lncRNA (ENSSSAG00000116421.1)". Lineage: Eukaryota; Metazoa; Chordata; Actinopteri; Salmoniformes; Salmonidae. The record is from RNAcentral.
CAGGGAAUGACAUCACUUCAUUUGCGCGCAUUCACGAGAGUGGUAGCUCUGUUCCAAAACGUUUUUCAAGACACAGGAACCGUCCGGUUGUAAUAUUACUGAAUCUUUACGUUCUAAAGGCCCUAAAGAUUGAUGUUUUACAACGUUUGACAUGUUUGAACGAACGUAAAUACAACUUUUUUAAACUUUUCGUCGUGACAUUGUCCGCGCGCUUCCUACAUUUGGAGUAGCUGAACUGAACGCGCAAACAACAAGGAGUUAUUUGGACAUAAAUUAUGGAGUUUAUCGAACAAAACAACAUUUAUUGUGGACCUGGGAUUCCUGGAAGUGUCUUCUGAUGAAGAUCAUCAAAGAAGUUGGUGUUGGUGCUCUAGACAGAAGGCAAGUAGUUAAAAGGUUGCAGAUGAUGAUAGAAUGGCUUGGAAAUGUGAGUUGUGCACAAGCCCAUUUCAGUCUAGAACACAUUUACUUUAACCCAAUCGUCUAAAGCACAGUCAUUACUCAAGAGUGGGUCGACUGCCAUGUCUCUAUGAAGAUUGUGUUUGCACAUUUCAGGUACUCAAUGCACUUAAAACUCAUCUAUCGCGAUGCCACAAUGCAGAGGUCAGGAAUAGGGAAGGUCAGGAGCAUGCAUCUUUUAACUGACCUCUGUGUACAUUCAAGCAACCUUUCUUUGAAUUUGUACUCUUCAGUCACCUUAGGGGACAUUUAAAGAAGCAUGAGAGAGUAGGACACACCAAGUGAGUGUUAUGUCAGAUUUUCAUGAUGACAUUGUCUGUCAGGAAACUGAUAACCUAACUGCCACUAACUCAGAUGACUUAUGUGAAGAAUGUCCCAGCCUGUCAAGAGGUGAGUGUAGCUGGUGCAUCGAAGUCAGGUGCAGAGAUGAGUGGACAAAGCACUUUACUAAGGCAAUCAUAUGCACAGAACGCAAUUGCGUCACAGAACAAAUGCCCAACGAACCAGUGAAGCAGCACAAAGUACAAAAACACAAGUACAAAGUACAGGCUGCCACAAAGCACGGGUAAUAAAAUAAACCCAGCGCAAACCAGCCUGAAGCCUGCCAACCUCAACAAUAAACAAUUACACACACGGACAUGGGGGGAACAGAGGGUUAAAUACACGACAUGUAAUGAGAUGUACCAGGUGUGUGGGAAAACAAGACAGAACAAAUGGAAAAUGAAAGGUGGAUCGGCGAUGGCUAGAAGACCGGUGACGUCGACCACCGAACGCCACCCACCCAAACAAGGAGAGGAACCGGCAUCAGCGGAAGUCGUGACAGUACCCCCCCUUGACGCGCGGCUCCAGCAGCGCGCCGACACUGGCCUCGGGGACGACCCGGAGGCAUACAACAUUGAUGGCCAGCUGCUGUUGACCCCCAAGAGGUUAAUUUGAGUGAGAAAGAGUUGAAAAUGUUAUGCAAUGGCAGCUGCAGCUGCAGCUCCUCAAGCCAUGAUACUUCACGUUGUUGAUGCUGACCAUACAAGGAAGAUAAACCUCAGCUCCAGCAUCUGUUGAUGACUUGAUAAACAUUUUGAAGGCCAAGUUUGAGUUUGACUACAACUUCCGCUUGCAGUAUGAAGACCUUGACUUUGAUGGACAACUUACCUGCUUGAUUGAGAGUGCACCUUUUAGUGGAAGGAGGAGAUACAAGUUAUACAGCUGACACAGUAAUACUUUCAGAUGUGUCUUCCCCAAAGCGCCUCAGUAGGUGGCCGACAGACGUUUUUCCCAUGCCUACUUUUGCAUUAUAGAGUUGAAGCUUAGAGAAAGAAAUGCUGCCUUUAAAUGGGAUGGAACAUAUAUUCAGUUGUCUAGAGACCUAAAACAUGGCAUCUUAGAGAAAGUUGCUACUACUGUGUACAGUUUCAAGGCUUACCCAAAUGACAGAGAUAGGAAAGGCAGCUGAAGCUCUUGUUACGAAACCCCCGUCUGAAAGAGGCAGGAUCUAACACUGGGUGGAAUGGAUGGAAGAACAGCAUCAACUUCAAGAUGGGUAACUACAGAACCAAGUUGAGGAAAGCAGGAUGUCAGGAGGUCUCUGUAACGCAAGAAAAAUAAGCAGAAGGAAUCCAGAGAACGAACCAACGCAUUCAAAUAUAAAUAGAAUUAAGUGGGAUGAAGUUCAUUUUCUGCCAAACCAUUUCCUGCUGAGGCAGGAUAGGAUAGGAGUUCCCUGAUCUCUGAGUUGUAGGUGUAUGCAGAAUUCCAGUGAAUUACAAACCAGAACUUGCUAAACAUCUUCUAUGCUGAGAUUGACCAUCACACUCGGUUGAUGACCUUGUAUAGACAGAGGGCAUCGAAGACUGGAAGGACUGCUGACGCUUUGGUUGACAUUCUGAGGUGUCAUGAUCUACAGGAAAGGAACCCCAAAAGACAAUUCCUCUGUCACGGACGUGAUGAGAGACGGACCAAGGCGCAGCGUGAUUGGAGUUCCAUAUCUUUUAUUACUGUGAAACUUAAACAAACCAAGAAACAAACAACAACCGUGAAGUACCGUAGUGCUACAUGCACUCACUCAAAACAAUAUCCCACAAAACACAGGUGGGAAAAAGGCUACCUAAAUAUGAUCCCCAGUUAGUGUCAACACUUACCAGCUGCCUCUAAUUGGGAAACAUACAACUCACCAACAUAGAAAUACAAUGACUAGAACACCCCCCUAGUCACGCUCUGACCUAAACACCAUAGAGAACCAAGGGCUCUCACCAUAGAGAACCAACCCCCCCCCCCCCCCCCCACAAAGGUGCGGACUCCGGCCGCAAAACCUGAAAACAAAUGGGGAGGGUGGGGGGGGUGCCUAGUGUUGGUGGC